Molecule: ribosomal RNA, 2019 nt
Filed under: Triticum aestivum (bread wheat)
Lineage: Eukaryota; Viridiplantae; Streptophyta; Magnoliopsida; Poales; Poaceae
Description: partial small subunit ribosomal RNA
Source: RNAcentral
AUGUCCAACCGCCCGCCGGCGCCAAUGCCGGACACGCUCUCCGACGCCUUCGCCGCCGCCGUGCUCCUCUCCUCCAACGACAAGCCCGACACGCUCCCGCCGGGUCGCCUCUCGCCCGUCUCCCCGCUCCCGCACUCCUCCUCCAAGCACCACCACCACCACCACACCCCGAGCUCCUCCUCGGGCUCCUCCGGCUCCGUCUCCCGGGCGCCCGCCUUCGCCUCGCGCCGGAGCCACUCCGGGGAGAUCCCGCUCCCCUCCGACGCCCCCCCGCGCGGGGCGCGCCCGGGCCACCGCCGCACUGGCUCCGGCCCCCUCAUCUUCACCUCCGGCUCCACCUCCAGCUCAGCCACCUCGCCGCUCACCAACGCGCUCCCCGCCGGGAACAUCUGCCCCACCGGCCGCCUCGCCAAGCCGCUGCCUUCCUUCUCCGCGGCCUCCACCCCGCCGCCCCCGGCCCCUCCCCGCGCCAUCCGCCACGACGUGCUCGGCUCCGGCACCGGCAACUACGGCCACGGGAGCAUCAUCCGCUCGCGCAGCGGCGGCGUGGCCCCCGAGGAGGACGCCGCGGUCAGGCGGGCCAUGUCCAGCGCCGACCCGGAGGAGCUCAAGAGGGCCGGCAACGAGCAGUACAAGAAGGGCUACUUCGAGGAGGCGCUCAGGCUCUACGACCGCGCGCUCGCCUUGUCCCCGGACAAUGCCGCAUGCCGGGGCAACCGGGCCGCCGCGCUCACCGGCCUCCGCCGCUUCGGCGACGCCAUCAAGGAGUGCGAGGAGGCCGUGCGGAUCGAUCCGUCGUACGGACGCGCGCACCAACGGCUCGCCUCGCUUCACAUAAGGUUGGGACACCUUGAGGAUGCUCAGAAGCACCUUACCCUGGCAACCCCACAGCCUGACCUCCUAGAGCUGCACAAAUUACAAACAGUGGAAAAGCACCUGGGCAGAUGCCUUGAUUCACGGAAGGUUGGGGACUGGAAGAAUGUGCUGAGGGAAUGUGAUGCCGCUAUCGCGGCUGGAGCUGACUCCUCUGCUCUGCUCUUUGCCGCGAGAGCAGAGGCUCUUCUCCGGCUCAAUCAGCUCGAUGAGGCUGAUAUGGCCAUCUCCAGUGCUUCCAAGUUGGAUUAUUCAUCUUCCUGCACCUCAGACACCAAAUUCUGUGGCUUCUUUGCCAACGCAUACCUCUAUUACGCACAUGCCCAAGUUGACAUUGCAUUGGGAAGGUUCGAUCAUGCUGUCUCUUCAGCUGACAAGGCCAGAAUAAUAGACCCAAGAAAUGUCGAAGUGAUAACAAUGCAUAACAAUGUGAAAGCUGUAGCAAGAGCACGAUCUCUAGGGAAUGAGCUAUUUAAAUCUGGAAAAUUUUCAGAAGCUUGCAUGGCUUAUGGCGAAGGGCUCAAACAUCACCCUGUAAAUCCGGUCCUUCACUGCAACAGGGCCGCUUGCAGGUUCAAGCUAGGGCAGUGGGAGAAGUCUAUUGAGGACUGCAAUGAAGCCCUCAUGAUUCAACCCAAUUAUACCAAGGCUCUGCUGAGGCGUGCAGCUUCCUAUGGCAAGAUGGAGCGAUGGGCGGAAUCGUUGAAGGAUUAUGAGGUUCUAAGAAAGGAACUCCCAGGUGACACUGAGGUUGCUGAGGCCUAUUUCCAUGCUCAGGUUGCCCUCAAGUCAUCUCGGGGUGAGGAAGUAUCAAACCUGAAGUUUGGAGGAGAGGUUGAAGCAGUUACAGGAAUGGAACAAUUCCAGAUGGCUACUUCCUUGCCAGGUGUUUCGGUCGUCCAUUUCAUGACUUCUUCGAAUCAGCAGUGCGGUAAAAUUUCCCCGUUUGUGAAUGCACUGUGUACCAAAUACCCAUCUGUUAAUUUCCUCAAGGUGGAUGUAAACGAGAGCCCUGCUGUCGCGCGCGCAGAGAAUGUGAGGACAGUUCCAACAUUCAAAAUCUACAAGAAUGCCAUAAGAGUGAAGGAGAUGAUCUGCCCCAGCCAACAGCUGCUGGAGUAUUCAGUAAGGCAUUACGGGACCUAG